CCUACGGGAGGCAGCAGUGAGGAAUAUUGGUCAAUGGACGAGAGUCUGAACCAGCCAAGCAGCGUGAAGGAUGACUGCACUACGGGUUGUAAACUUCUUUUAUAAAGGAAUAAAACGAGGCACGUGUGCCUUUUUGAAUGUACUUUAUGAAUAAGGAUCGGCUAACUCCGUGCCAGCAGCCGCGGUAAUACGGAGGAUCCGAGCGUUAUCCGGAUUUAUUGGGUUUAAAGGGAGCGUAGAUGGGUUGUUAAGUCAGUUGUGAAAGUUUGCGGCUCAACCGUAAAAUUGCAAUUGAUACUGGCAGUCUUGAGUACAAUUGAGGUAGGCGGAAUUCGUGGUGUAGCGGUGAAAUGCUUAGAUAUCACGAAGAACCCCGAUUGCGAAGGCAGCUUACUAAACUGUGACUGACAUUGAUGCUCGAAAGUGUGGGUAUCAAACAGGAUUAGAUACCCUGGUAGUC
RNAcentral lists this ribosomal RNA (460 nucleotides) under uncultured bacterium. RNAcentral describes it as "partial 16S ribosomal RNA". It matches the Rfam family "Bacterial small subunit ribosomal RNA", at positions 338 to 795 of the family's 1533-position model. The record is from RNAcentral.